GAUGAACGCUGGCGGCGUGCCUAAUACAUGCAAGUCGAACGCAUUGAGAGAAGUGCUUGCACUUUUCAAUUUGAGUGGCGAACGGGUGAGUAACACGUGGGCAACCUACCUGAUAGCGGGGGAUAACGAGUGGAAACAUUCGCUAAUACCGCAUAACAAUAGAGAAGGCAUCUUCUUUAUUUAAAAGGCGCUUUCAAGCGUCACUAUCAGAUGGGCCCGCGGUGCAUUAGUUAGUUGGUGGGGUGAAGGCCUACCAAGACGAUGAUGCAUAGGCGAGUUGGGAGACUGGUCGGCCACAUUGGGACUGAGACACGGCCCAAACUCCUACGGGAGGCUGCAGUAGGGAAUCUUCCACAAUGGACGAAAGUCUGAUGGAGCAACGCCGCGUGUGUGAUGAAGGCUUUCGGGUCGUAAAGCACUGUUGUAUGGGAAGAAAUGCUAGGCUAGGAAAUGAGCUUAGUUUGACGGUACCAUACCAGAAAGGGACGGCUAAAUACGUGCCAGCCGCCGCCGUAA
RNAcentral lists this ribosomal RNA (516 nucleotides) under uncultured bacterium. RNAcentral's name for it is "partial 16S ribosomal RNA". It matches the Rfam family "Bacterial small subunit ribosomal RNA", at positions 28 to 523 of the family's 1533-position model. The record is from RNAcentral.